RNAcentral lists this ribosomal RNA (497 nucleotides) under uncultured bacterium. RNAcentral describes it as "partial 16S ribosomal RNA". It matches the Rfam family "Bacterial small subunit ribosomal RNA", at positions 28 to 507 of the family's 1533-position model. The record is from RNAcentral.
GAUGAACGCUGGCGGCGUGCCUAAUACAUGCAAGUCGAGCGAACAGAUGAGGAGCUUGCUCCUCUGACGUUAGCGGCGGACGGGUGAGUAACGCGUGGAUAACCUACCUAUAAGACUGGGAUAACUUCGGGAAACCGGAGCUAAUACCGGAUAAUAUAUUGAACCGCAUGGUUCAAUAGUGAAAGACGGUUUUGCUGUCACUUAUAGAUGGAUCCGCGCCGCAUUAGCUAGUUGGUAAGGUAACGGCUUACCAAGGCAACGAUGCGUAGCCGACCUGAGAGGGUGAUCGGCCACACUGGAACUGAGACACGGUCCAGACUCCUACGGGAGGCAGCAGUAGGGAAUCUUCCGCAAUGGGCGAAAGCUUGACGGAGCAACGCCGCGUGAGUGAUGAAGGUCUUCGGAUCGUAAAACUCUGUUAUUAGGGAAGAACAAAUGUGUAAGUAACUAUGCACGUCUUGACGGUACCUAAUCAGAAAGCCACGGCUAACUACGUG